ACUAAGCGUACACGGUGGAUGCCCUGGCAGUCAGAGGCGAUGAAGGACGUGCUAAUCUGCGAAAAGCGUCGGUAAGGUGAUAUGAACCGUUACAGCCGGCGAUGUCCGAAUGGGGAAACCCAGUGCAAUUCGUUGCACUAUCGUUAACUGAAUACAUAGGUUAACGAGGCGAACCGGGGGAACUGAAACAUCUAAGUACCCCGAGGAAAAGAAAUCAACCGAGAUUCCCCCAGUAGCGGCGAGCGAACGGGGAGCAGCCCAGAGUCUGAAUCAGCUUGUGUGUUAGUGGAACGGUCUGGAAAGUCCGACGGUACAGGGUGAUAGUCCCGUACACCAAAAUGCACAGGUUGUGAACUCGAAGAGUAGGGCGGGACACGUGGUAUCCUGUCUGAAUAUGGGGGGACCAUCCUCCAAGGCUAAAUACUCCUGACUGACCGAUAGUGAACCAGUACCGUGAGGGAAAGGCGAAAAGAACCCCGGCGAGGGGAGUGAAAAAGAACCUGAAACCGUGUACGUACAAGCAGUGGGAGCACCUUCGGGUGUGACUGCGUACCUUUUGUAUAAUGGGUCAGCGACUUAUAUUCUGUAGCAAGGUUAACCGUAUAGGGGAGCCGCAGGGAAACCGAGUCUUAACUGGGCGUUAAGUUGCAGGGUAUAGACCCGAAACCCGGUGAUCUAGCCAUGGGCAGGUUGAAGGUUGGGUAACACUAACUGGAGGACCGAACCGACUAAUGUUGAAAAAUUAGCGGAUGACUUGUGGCUGGGGGUGAAAGGCCAAUCAAACCGGGAGAUAGCUGGUUCUCCCCGAAAGCUAUUUAGGUAGCGCCUCGUGAACUCAUCUUCGGGGGUAGAGCACUGUUUCGGCUAGGGGGUCAUCCCGACUUACCAACCCGAUGCAAACUACGAAUACCGAAGAAUGUUAUCACGGGAGACACACGGCGGGUGCUAACGUCCGUCGUGAAGAGGGAAACAACCCAGACCGCCAGCUAAGGUCCCAAAGUCAUGGUUAAGUGGGAAACGAUGUGGGAAGGCACAGACAGCCAGGAUGUUGGCUUAGAAGCAGCCAUCAUUUAAAGAAAGCGUAAUAGCUCACUGGUCGAGUCGGCCUGCGCGGAAGAUGUAACGGGGCUAAACCAUGCACCGAAGCUGCGGCAGCGACACUAUGUGUUGUUGGGUAGGGGAGCGUUCUGUAAGCCUGCGAAGGUGUGCUGUGAGGCAUGCUGGAGGUAUCAGAAGUGCGAAUGCUGACAUAAGUAACGAUAAAGCGGGUGAAAAGCCCGCUCGCCGGAAGACCAAGGGUUCCUGUCCAACGUUAAUCGGGGCAGGGUGAGUCGACCCCUAAGGCGAGGCCGAAAGGCGUAGUCGAUGGGAAACAGGUUAAUAUUCCUGUACUUGGUGUUACUGCGAAGGGGGGACGGAGAAGGCUAUGUUAGCCGGGCGACGGUUGUCCCGGUUUAAGCAUGUAGGCUGGUUAUCCAGGCAAAUCCGGAUAAUCAAGGCUGAGGUGUGAUGACGAGGCACUACGGUGCUGAAGUAACAAAUGCCCUGCUUCCAGGAAAAGCCUCUAAGCAUCAGGUAACAUCAAAUCGUACCCCAAACCGACACAGGUGGUCAGGUAGAGAAUACCAAGGCGCUUGAGAGAACUCGGGUGAAGGAACUAGGCAAAAUGGUGCCGUAACUUCGGGAGAAGGCACGCUGGUGUGUAGGUGAAGUCCCUGCGGAUGGAGCUGAGACCAGUCGAAGAUACCAGCUGGCUGCAACUGUUUAUUAAAAACACAGCACUGUGCAAACACGAAAGUGGACGUAUACGGUGUGACGCCUGCCCGGUGCCGGAAGGUUAAUUGAUGGGGUUAUCCGUAAGGAGAAGCUCUUGAUCGAAGCCCCGGUAAACGGCGGCCGUAACUAUAACGGUCCUAAGGUAGCGAAAUUCCUUGUCGGGUAAGUUCCGACCUGCACGAAUGGCGUAAUGAUGGCCAGGCUGUCUCCACCCGAGACUCAGUGAAAUUGAACUCGCUGUGAAGAUGCAGUGUACCCGCGGCAAGACGGAAAGACCCCGUGAACCUUUACUAUAGCUUGACACUGAACAUUGAGCCUUGAUGUGUAGGAUAGGUGGGAGGCUUUGAAGCGUGGACGCCAGUCUGCGUGGAGCCAACCUUGAAAUACCACCCUUUAAUGUUUGAUGUUCUAACGUUGGCCCCUGACCGGGGUUGCGGACAGUGUCUGGUGGGUAGUUUGACUGGGGCGGUCUCCUCCCAAAGCGUAACGGAGGAGCACGAAGGUUAGCUAAUCCUGGUCGGACAUCAGGAGGUUAGUGCAAUGGCAUAAGCUAGCUUGACUGCGAGCGUGACGGCGCGAGCAGGUGCGAAAGCAGGUCAUAGUGAUCCGGUGGUUCUGAAUGGAAGGGCCAUCGCUCAACGGAUAAAAGGUACUCCGGGGAUAACAGGCUGAUACCGCCCAAGAGUUCAUAUCGACGGCGGUGUUUGGCACCUCGAUGUCGGCUCAUCACAUCCUGGGGCUGAAGUAGGUCCCAAGGGUAUGGCUGUUCGCCAUUUAAAGUGGUACGCGAGCUGGGUUUAGAACGUCGUGAGACAGUUCGGUCCCUAUCUGCCGUGGGCGCUGGAGAAUUGAGGGGGGCUGCUCCUAGUACGAGAGGACCGGAGUGGACGCAUCACUGGUGUUCGGGUUGUCAUGCCAAUGGCACUGCCCGGUAGCUAAAUGCGGAAGAGAUAAGUGCUGAAAGCAUCUAAGCACGAAACUUGCCCCGAGAUGAGUUCUCCCUGAGACUUUAAGUCUCCUGAAGGAACGUUGAAGACGACGACGUUGAUAGGCCGGGUGUGUAAGCGCAGCGAUGCGUUGAGCUAACCGGUACUAAUGAACCGUGAGGCUUAACC
RNAcentral lists this ribosomal RNA (2891 nucleotides) under Klebsiella pneumoniae. RNAcentral describes it as "bacterial LSU rRNA". It matches the Rfam family "Bacterial large subunit ribosomal RNA". The record is from RNAcentral. Lineage: Bacteria; Pseudomonadati; Pseudomonadota; Gammaproteobacteria; Enterobacterales; Enterobacteriaceae.